AUACGUAGGGGGCGAGCGUUGUCCGGAAUGAUUGGGCGUAAAGGGCGCGUAGGCGGCUUUGCAAGUCAGUAGUGGAAGACCAUUUUUCAAGGUUGGAAGCGCUACAGAAACUGCGGGGCUUGAGUGCAGGAGAGGGUAUCGGAAUUCCCGGUGUAGCGGUGAAAUGCGUAGAGAUCGGGAGGAACACCAGUGGCGAAGGCGGGUAACUGGACUGCAACUGACGCUGAGGCGCGAAAGUGUGGGGAGCAAACAGGAUUAGAUACCCUGGUAGUCCACACUGUAAACGAUGAAUGCUAGGUGUAGGAGGUAUCGACCCCUUCUGUGCCGCAGUAAACACAGUAAGCAUUCCGCCUGGGGAGUACGGUCGCAAGAUUAAAACUCAAAGGAAUUGACGGGG
RNAcentral lists this ribosomal RNA (397 nucleotides) under uncultured bacterium. RNAcentral describes it as "partial 16S ribosomal RNA". It matches the Rfam family "Bacterial small subunit ribosomal RNA", at positions 523 to 918 of the family's 1533-position model. The record is from RNAcentral.